RNAcentral lists this ribosomal RNA (500 nucleotides) under uncultured bacterium. RNAcentral describes it as "partial 16S ribosomal RNA". It matches the Rfam family "Bacterial small subunit ribosomal RNA", at positions 28 to 507 of the family's 1533-position model. The record is from RNAcentral.
GACGAACGCUGGCGGCAUGCCUAAUACAUGCAAGUCGAGCGAACAUUUAUAUAAUCUUGCUUCUAUAAAUGUUACCGGCGGAUGGGUGAGUCACACGUGAGCAACCUUCCAUGCAGAUGGGGAUAACUCCGGGAAACCGGGACUAAUACCGGAUAAUCAGUUUGUCCGCAUGGACAAACUCUAAAAGACGGCUUCGGCUGUCACUGCAGGUUUGGCCUGCGGCGCAUUAGCUAGUUGGUGGGAUAACGGCCUACCUAGCCAACGAUGCGUAGCCGACCUGGGAGGGUGAUAGGCCGCAUGGGGACUGAGACGCGGACAAGAGUCCUACGGGACGCAGCAGUAGGGAAUCGUACACAGUGGACGGAAGUCUGACGGAACAAGGGCAAGUGAGAGGAGGAGGUGUUCGGUGCGUAAAGACGGGUUGUGAGGGAAAAACAAGUUCGGCAGGAAAUGCACGGACCUUGACGGUACCUGAUGAGAAAGCAACGGCUAACUACGUG